UUCCACUAUAUAUGUAUACAUAUGUUUGUUUGUUUUUUCUUUUAGUUAUUGGCCGAGGUUUCUUCCAUUGAUUAUGGGAUCACAUUUUCUAAGCAUAUAUACCAAAUUGCAACUGUACUUCUGAAUGUGUAUACCUGAUAAGGCUGGUUUUUGAGGAUCACCUUCUUAAGGAAACCAGGGCUUCCACACUAAAACAGGGUGAGGAGGUGCGUGUAUAUGACAAACAUAAACAGCUACGACAACAGGUAAGGGACCGGAGAACAUAGAUAUUAAUUAUAAGCAGGGAAGAGACCGGGAGUACAUAGAUAUUAUAAACAGCUACGACAACAGGGAAGGGACCGGAGUACAUAGAUAUUAUAAACAGCUACGACAACAGGGAAGGGACCGGAGUACAUACAUAUUAUAAACAGCUACGACAGCAAGGCAGCAAACUUAUUAAAGUCCUGAUCUGCUGAUCAAUACCGAGCUUUUACCAAUGGUCAUGGAGUCAUUUCUUUAUCCUUAUUUGGCACCCAAACGAGAGUAUCACUAUCUAUAAAGUGACAAACAGCAGGUCCUGGCUUAAUUUUGAGAACUUCAAACGCCAUAUGGUCUGGACUCCAAGCUGACGUGUUCAGGUGGCAAACCGUUACAGCCUUCACUCUUGUGCCAUCAGCACCCACUAAUGGAACCUCAUCAACCUCUGUGUCUGCGAUUACAUGGCAAUAGUGCACUGCAUAAGGAUAUCUCAUCUUGUGACACACUGCUGCUUUAUGAUCUCCAAUCAUUCUCACUUCGGCUGAAACCGUAUACUCUUGCUUCUUGCCUGCUCCAGUCGAGAGUACCCGAACAUUUUGGCCAAGCCUUUCAACACUAUAAUCAAUUAAUGACUCUAGAGAUGUAGCACAAUAUUUGUCUUCUCCUUCCAUGUUUGGCUCCUCGCAUCCUCCUAUUUCUUCUCUGAUGACCUGAGCCUCUUUUGAGUUGACUUCUAGUGUAAAGUACUUCAAAAUCUCUGGUAUUUUGUCACUGGAAAAUGGUAUAGACUCUGCGAUUUGACGAGGCAAGAAACUAACCUUGGUUCCACUAUCCGUAAAAAGAAUUUUCAAUUUUUUACCUGGAUGGAGAUCGUUGUACUGGUAGAAUAUCGUUGAGUCAGGGAGGGCAGACUUUAGGGAUUUUUUAUCGCCUCUUUUAUAGCCUCGUUUGUAAACUCUUCUAUAGAUUCUUUGGAUAACAGUAGCACUUACGUUUUCAUUAGCGAAUUCUCUGGUGAUUGAAGGAUAAUGACCAGGUUGUAGAAGAUAUUCCAGGGCUUUUGGCAAUGGAGUGUUGGGCAACCUUGAGUACCAAUACUUCUCAGUAGGUGGAGAAAUAUCGCUAGGGAGGAAGGUGGCAACUUUCUUUGGUAAAGGGACAUUGUCAGCAGCCACAGCCACUGUCGUGUGGGAUACACCGAUGGUAUUGGCAGCGGUGGAGAAGGUAAUGUAGAGGGAGAGAGUAAGAAAGAAGAGGAGGAGCAGUGCACAAGAAUUGGCUAUAGACAUUUUUUGAAGAUAAUGAAGAAGUGAGCAAGUGACAUUAUUUAUGGAGGUAAAUUUGUUUAUAUCCUGCAAGGCAACACGCGUGUGAAGUGAGAAGUUGACAAGUCAAAGGUAGAGACAAGCUCAAAGACACAAGGUCUGCUUGGUAGCCAAUAGGGUUUGAGAGAGAGAGAGAGAAAUGGGGUUGCUCAAGGAAUGAGGCAUAUCAUUUUGCAAUCGACUCCUUCCAUUUUUGACGCUCGCUGACAGAGCUGUCAGCGCUGCUUGCUCGAGGCAGUGAGGGCAGCUAUGUCCUUGCGCUCUCUCUCACGGGCGGUGCAAGUGUGUGGGGUUGAUAGUGACCACGCCUUCCCUCACUCCUGUCUUUGUCUGCCCGGCAUUCAAGACGCGAUAAUUGAUCAAAUAGUAUACUUUGUAUAUUAGCGAGGAAAAUUAGAAAUAUUGACAAAAAAUUGUAUAGUUUAAAAAUAAUUAGUCAUAUAGUAUACUUUGUAUACGUGAUAAUUCACAAUUAUAAUAUUUAAAAAUAUCACGUUUAGAUAUGGUGAUUUUAUCCAUUGAAUGUUAUAAUUUUAAAUUGUAUUUUAACCUGGUUUGUUUUUCUCUACCACCAUUGUAGCUUUUCUCUUUAUAAAAAACUUGCUGUUUAUAUUCUUUCUUUCUAAAAAACUUAUUGAUACUGCCGUCCUGGCUUUAUAGUGUGUUUGUUGUCCGCUAGUUUAACCUCGUUUGUUUUUCAUGUUAGUGGUGAAACAAAUACAAUAAUUUAUUUAGUAACAAGGAAAGUGUAUUUUAUGCUGUGAGAGUCAUUAAAAAAUUAAAUAUAAAAUAUAAGUUUUGUGUAGUAGUUUUUAUAUAUGUUUUAAUUGAGUUUUGUAAAUAUUUUUAUUUUAUUUAAAUAUUUUAUAUGUUUUUUUGUUACAUAUAAACUUCAACCAUAAUUUUUACUAAACACAUAUUUAAAUCCAACUAAUAAUAAUUAAAAAUAUUUUUUUAAAAUUUAUUUUUUUCAAAUCACAACCAUAAAAAUUACCUAAAAAACAAACACAACUUUAUACGCUCAAAAAUCCAUAAAGUAUAAACCCUACACCACUUUUCAAGUCACGAGCGUAGACUUCCACCACUCCCUAGUGGAAAAAUACUAUGUAAACAAACUACAUUUGUAUUAAUUAAGUGUUUUUCAUAGUUAAUUUAUGUCAAAAUCACUCUUCCCAUCUCACCAAGUUUAGUGUCAAAAUCACCAUCCAUAAAGUAUAAACCCUACACCACUUUUCAAGUCACGAGCGUAGACUUCCACCACUCCCUAGUGGAAAAAUACUAUGUAAACAAACUACAUUUGUAUUAAUUAAGUGUUUUUCAUAGUUAAUUUAUGUCAAAAUCACUCUUCCCAUCUCACCAAGUUUAGUGUCAAAAUCACCAUCCAUAAAGUAUAAACCCUACACCACUUUACAAGUCACGAGCAUAGACUUCCACCACUCCCUAGUGGAAAAAUAGUAUGUAACAAACUACAUUUGUAUUAGUUAAGUGUUUUUCAUAGUUAAUUUAUGUUUAAUUUGUGCUUGCUUGAAAUUAAGGUUUAAUUUACAAAUUAGGUUGGUUUAAAAUUACAGUUUGAUUGAAUUGUGUUAAUAUCUAUUAAUUUAUAAAAAUAGGGUUGAUUUUUAAUAAUGAGCAUGGAAAUAGCAUGAAUUAUGUUUCAUUUUAAUCAAUUAUGCUUGCGGUGAUUUGUCAACUAAGUUGUUGAAAUUAAGGUUUUUGAUUGGUUUAUGAUAAAUUACCAUGAAUUUAUAUAAUUAGAGUUGAUUUCAUGCAAAUAAACAUGAAAAUAACAUGAAUUAGAAUGAGUUUUGAUCAAUUAUGUUUUUCGUUGAUUUGUCAGAUAGGUUGGAUUUUAAUGAAUUUUGCGUGGCGUUGAAUGUUUGGAUAAAUUAUUGAAUUUAAGGAUUUUGUAUGAAUUAGUAGAAAUUAAUUAUGAAUUCAAGCAAUUAGUGUUUUUUAGUACAAACAAGAAGUUCUUAAAGAAGAUGACUUAGUCAUUUGGUUAUAUCUUCUUCUUUUUAUUAGGGUCUUAGAUGUAGUUGAGUUUGUGAUAACAAAUGAUUCUGAGUAGUCAUGUAUAGUUUUGCCAUAACUAAAUAAGGAUAUGCUCCAAACAUACCAAACAUAUUAUGCUCUAAAUAAGGAUAACUAAAUUAUGACCUAGAAGAUGCAUUUAUAAAUUAGUGGGACAUGUUUAGGACUAAGAAAAGGUCUAGUCGCACCAAACUAGAAUAAGGGAUCAAAGGGACUAUAAUUUUUUAUUCCAACAUUAGAUCAAGUUGAAAUUUUUACAGGAGUUUUUGGAGACUGUUUAUUUUCUAUAAUAGCCACUACAUCACUACAUGUACUGUUGGUUUUUAAAAAAUCUCGCUCAAAACCCAUGGAUUUGGUAAUUUUGUUAUUUUCCUUGUGUUUUUUUUUCAUGUUUUAUUUUAAAUUUUAUGCUUCUUUCAUUGGCUCUUUGACAUGCCUCACAUUAUCUAAUAUAGUCCUUUACUUUAAAUUUCAUUACCACCUAACAAAAAUCCCUCAUUGGUUGGCUUAGGGGUAUCUCUGAAUGACCUACUGUUGGAUUGUCAUAUAUAUGCUACAUGAUUGUUGACUUGAGGGGAAAUUUUUUAUAGAUAUAAAUUCCUUCCUUGUACAGCAGCACCCCACCAUUUAUUUGGUACCUCAGGUCACCUAUAGUGUCACCAUUCAUCUACUAAAAGAUUUGUUGUAUUUCCUUCACCUAGUACAGCUUUCUUUGAGGUUUUCUACUCACCAUUACUAUCCACCUUAAUCCGACUCUAAUAAUGAAUAUAGUAAUAUUUAAACUUGUAAUCAUUUAAUUAUUAAAUUUUAAUAUCAUAUUUCAAUUCAAAAAUUUAAUUUAUCAAUUGAAGUACGAAGAAUGGUUUUAUAUAUCACUCUCUUACGGUCCAAAUUCCUUCUUCUUUUUAUGUUUACAAAUUUUUGUUUUUUUAUUUUAUUUCUUGACCGAGGUUCCUUCCAUUGAUUAUGGGAUCUCACAUUUUCUAAAGCAUACCAAGUUGCCGUGGUGAUUCGUAAUUUUUGUAAGUGUCCUGUUUCUUUAUUAUUCUUAAGGGAUCAACACAAUAGGGCUGGGGAGUGCAUAUGCAUUACAAACACAAACAGGUAAGACAUGCAACAGGGGAGGGAACGGGAGUACAUACAUAUUACAAAUAGCUAUGACAACAAGGCAGCAAAUUUUAUUAAGGCCUUUUAUCAAGACCAAGCUUUGACAUAUUUUCAUGGAGUCAUCUCUUUAUCCCUUCGUUGGCACCCAAACGAGAGUAUCACUAUCGAGAAAGUGACAAACAGCUGGUCCUGGCUUAAUUUUGAGAACUUCAAACGCCAUAUGGUCUGGAGUCCAAGCUGAUUGAUGUGAUUUAUUAUAAGAGUUUUCAAAAUAUAUUUAUUAUUUUUAAAUUAUAUCGAGUAUUAGCUGAAACAAAUAAGUCGCAUUACUAUCAUUUAAUUGACAGGUUGAUUUGUUUUAUUUUGAUUUUGCCUGUUUUCACUACUACUAUAGACUUGAUAUUUUCGGCUAUGAAACAUGUUAAAACUGUACUUCUUAAUAAAAUGAAAGAGGAGUUUUUAGCAGAUUUUAUGAUGAUUUACAUUGAACGAAAACUUGUUGAAGAUAUUAAUUCGGAUUCAAUUAUAAAUGAAUUAUAUUCUAUAAAAUAUCAAAUGGUGCAACUUUAAUAGUGUAAUUUAUUUUUAUUUUGAAUUUUAUGUACUUAAAAUUUUAUUUUUUAUAUAUUUUAUGUUAUGUAUUUGAAUUAAAAUUUUAUUAUUAACUUAACAAAUUUAUAUAUCCAAGUUGACUAUUAAUUUUAAAAAGUAAUUUAUAUGCAUUUAUAUCAUACUCUAGAAUAAAAAAAAAAUUCUGACUCCGCCCCUGACUCCAAGCUGAUGUGUUGAGGUUGCAAACUGUCACGGCUUUCACUUUUGUGCCAUCAGCACCCACUAAGGGUACCUCAUAAAUUUCUGUGUCUGCGAUUACAUGGCAAUAGUGUGCUGCAUAGGGAUAUCUCAUCUUGUGACACACUGCUGCUUUGUGAUCUCCAAUCAUCGUCGCUUUGGCCGAAACAGUAUACUCUUGCUUCUUGCCUGCGUCAGUGGGAAGUACCCGAACAUUUUGGCCAAGCCUUUCAACACUAAAAUCAAUUAAUGACUCCAGAGAUGUAGCACAUAAUUUUUCUUCUCUUUCCAGUCAAAACGUACGCAGAGUUUUCAAAUGGAUUCAAUUGUUUAUUUUCACUUAGUAACUUCCUCUGUUACAAGCAGAAUAUAUAUAGCUACUCUACAUAAGAAUCCCUACGUUUCAGAUCCUAUAGUUUAGGACUGAUUUGCUAAUUACAUGGAAACCUAUUUCUACUAGGAUACAAUCACGUAUUUACCGGGAUGCUGGAAUAUAUCUUUCCAGCUAAUAUCAGAGACAAUGUAGGACUUGAAUGCUGCAAAUCCAACUUGGAGAUAAUUACCGCAAUUGUUAACACUCCCCCUCAAGUUGGUGCGUAGAUGUCACUCAUUCCAAUUUCGCUGAGAAUUGUACUAAACGCGUGGUUUGACAAUGCCUUGGUUAGUAUAUCAGCGAGCUGGUCUUGAGAUCGAACAUGAGGAACUUCAAUUAGCUUUUCUUCUAGCUUUUCCUUGAUAAAAUGCCUAUCAACUUCAACAUGUUUAGUACGAUCAUGUUGAACAGGAUUAUGAACAAUAUCACAUGCUGCCUUGUUGUCACAAUACAACUUCAUAGGAUUGACUGGCUUAAUAUGUAAAUCUAUCAUCAGAUUUCUAAUCCACAACAAUUCGCAUAUAGCUUUAGUCAUCCCUCUAUAUUCAGCCUCAGCACUUGAUCUAGCAACUACCUCCUGUUUUUUUACUUCGCCAUGUAACCAAGUUUCCUCCUACAAACGUGAAAUAACCAGAAGUAGAACGUCGAUCUUGAAUAGAACCAGCCCAAUCAGCAUCUGUAUAACCAUUAACAUCCAAAUUGUGUCUUUUUGUGAACAAAAUUCCUUUUCCUGGAGACGACUUCAAGUAGCGUAAGAUACGGGUGACAGCAUUCAUAUGUUCUUCGCUUGGAGAGUGCAUAAAUUGACUGACCACACUCAAUGAAUAAGCUAAAUCAGGUCGAGUAUGUGCAAGAUACAUUAACCUUCCAACCAACCUCUAAUAGCGUUCUUUGUUAGUCGGAACUUGAUUGGAAUCACCAUGUAGUUUCAAGUUCUCUUCCAUAGGAGUGCUAGCUGGACUGCAUGUUGUCAUACCUGUUUCACUUAGUAAGUCUAAGGCAUAUUUUCUUUGUGAAAGAAAAAUACCUUUAUCUGACCGUGACACUUCAAUGCCCAAGAAAUACUUCAACUCUCCAAGGUCUUUCAUCUCAAACUCACGGGCAAGGUGCUCGUGUAAUCUUUUCCUCUCUCCUGAAUCAUCUCCGGUUACUAUUAUAUCAUCAACAUACACAAUGAGAAUUGUAAUGUGUUUUUCAUUAUGCUUCAAGAAUAAAGUGUGAUCCGAGUUACUCUGUGUGUAACCAACUGUCUUCAUAAAAUUUGUGAACCUUCCGAACCACGCUCUGGGAGACUGCUUUAAACCAUAUAGGGAUUUUCUCAACCUGCAGACCUGUUUAUUACCUUCCGUUUGCUGUUUACAGCUAGGAGGUAAUUCCAUAUAUACUUCUUCUUGGAGAGUUCCAUGUAGAAAUGCAUUCUUUACGUCAAAUUGAUGUAGCGGCCAGUCAAGAUUAACUGCUAGAGAUAGUAUAAUACGAACAGUAUUAAGUUUGGCCACCGGUGAAAAAGUCUCCAUAUAAUCAAUUCCAUAUGUUUGAGUAUAUCCCUUGGCUACCAGCCUUGCUUUGCACCGUUCAAUAGUUCCAUCAGCUUUGUAUUUAAUGGUGAAGACCCACCUACACCCAACAGGUUUCUUUCCUUUCGGCAAGUCAACAAUGUCCCAUGUUGAGUUUUUUUUGAAGGGCUUUCAUUUCUUCAUUCAUUGCCUCCCUCCAUCUAGGAUCAGCCAAGGCUUCCUGCACAUUGUUAGGAAUAGAUACAACGGAUAAUUGAUGUACAAAUGCCAUUUUUUCGUUUGACAAUCUAUGAUAGGAUACAUAGUUAUUCAUAGGGUAUUUGAGUUUUGAGUGAAGGGUUGGUUCAUAGUUCACCUUGGGUUUACCUCUUGUGACUCGAUUAGGUAGUUCUUUUAGGGACUCAACUGGAUGAAUAUCAUGAGACUCAAGUCUGGAAUCAACCGGGGAAGACAAUUGGUUAACUGGUACACUGUGGGAAGCUGUCGGCCCCUCCAAGGUAUCCUGGUUACCAUCAACGAUUUCUGGACCAUUUUCACUGGUAUACUCUUCCCUGUCCUGGUGUUCCUCUGUGUUCUCAUUAACUGGACAUUCUUCAUUAGUCUCCAAGCUAUCCAAAGUAUCAAUCAGUUGGUUACCAUGUGCAAUGAUAUCCACAUUGUCUGUAGGCUUAGUUGCUAUCUGCACUUCAUCGUUCUCCUUAGUUUGAGAAGAAUAAUACAUAGUAGUUUCAUGGAAGACCACAUCCAGAGUAACAUAAAGUUGGCGAGAAGGAGGGUGAUAACAUCGAUAGCCUUUUUGGUGCAGAGCAUAGCCAACAAACACACAUCGAAGUCCCCGAGGUUCCAACUUAGUUCUCAAACCUUUAUGAAGAUGUACAUAAGCUACACAUCCAAAAACUUUAGGAGGUAAGUUUGGCAUUGUAGGAGCACUUACAAGGCGAUGGAGAACCUCGAAGGGGGUUUGGAAUUGCAGAGAACUAGAAGGUACCCUGUUGAUAAUGUAUGCUCCGGCAGUAACAGCUUCUCCCCAGUAACUAGUAGGCAUGUGAGCUUCAAAUAAGGAGGCACGAACUACCUCAAGGAUAUGACGAUUUUUCCGUUCAGCCACCCCAUUCUGUUGAGGGGUGUAAGGGCAAGUUGUUUGAUGAAUAAUGCCAUGUGUGUUCAAGUAAUCUUUCAAGCUGUGAUUGAUAAACUCUCCCCCAUUAUCAGUCCUGAUCACCUGAAUAUUGGUCUGAUACUGUGUUGCUAUCAUUUUGUGGAAUUGCUGGAAUAAAGAACUCACUUCACUCUUUGAUUUCAUUAAGCAAAUCCAAGUCAUGCGGGUGUGAUCAUCAAUGAAUGAAACAAACCAACGUGAUUCAUUUAGAGAAGGAGUGUUUGUUGGUCCCCAUACAUCUGAGUGAACAACCAUAAAAGGUGCAGGGCUUUUAUUCAUACUAAUAGGAAAUGAAACACGAUGACUUUUAGCACGUUCACAUACAUCACACUUAAAAUCUGAAACAAUCAAUUGUGAAAAUAAUUGUGGGAAUAAUUUCUGUAAAUAUCCAAAGGAUGCAUGGCCUAAACGCCUAUGCCAUAACCAAAUUUCAGACUUCUGGUGUUCAUUAGUUGUAUUAGUUGAGAAGACUUGUGCCAACUGAUUUGAGCUUGCCGGAAUCAGAUCCAUGUAGUAGAGCUUCCCUCUCCUAGUACCAUAACCAAUUGUCUUCCGAGUUUGAAUGUCCUUGAAUAUGCAAAGGUUCGGCCAAAAAAUUACAACACACAUCAAGGCACAAGUUAUUUGAGCAACAGAUAAUAAAUUAUGAUUGAGACUCGGAACAAUAAGAACUGACUCUAAAAUCAGAUUUUUUGUAAGAGUAACCGUGCCUUCUCCUGACACAGAAGAAGGAGUUCCAUUGGCUGUGAAAAUUUCAUGGUGGUUUGAGGGUUGUAUGGUCUGAAUAUUAUUGUUAAACGUCAUAUGAUUUGUGGCACCUGAAUCAAUUAUCCAUUCACUAUUUCUAACAGAAGUGGAGGUAUGAAGAGCCUUACCUGCAUUUACAGCAUCAGCACCUGUGUUCUCAGCAGUGUCGCGUGCAUUCCCAGUAAUAGCACCAGAAGAGGAGUCUUUCCCAGAUUUCUUGCCAAACAUAUGAUUUGGUUCUGCCACAGCAACAGACACAUGAGGAUUUGCCUUUAAGUUUCUCUUACGAGGUGCUUUGGAAAAAUCCCACCAUUCUGGAUAUCCAAUUAAUUCAUAGCAGCGUAGCUUAGUGUGCCCAGUUUCACCACAGUGAGUGCACAUGCGUUCUGGUCGUGCAGCUCCUAUUUCAUAGCUGCAAUUUUGCGAUCCAAUUGAAUGAUUAUGAUUCAGUGAACCAGAAGCUCGAUCUGGUUUCAGGUUCUGUGGUCGUUGAUACUUACUUCGGCGAGCUAUCAUAGCAGAUGGCUCUGAGUGUCCAGGUUCCCCAUUCAGUGUGUUUCGACGGAUAGAGUCACGACGAACAUAAGCAUAUGUUUCUUUAAGGUCUAGUGCAGAAUCUCUCCUUAGGAUCUCACCACGAAUUUGCUCAAAUUCUUCAUCAAGGCCAUUCAGAAAAAUAUGCACCCGCAGUCUCUCAACUGAUUUUUUGUAGGCAAUGACAUCAUCGGGAUCUUUCAUAACAAUCUUGUCACGAUGAUCUAGUUCUUGAAAUAUUUCUACCAAAUCACCAUAAUAGGUAGAGAUAGGACGACCAACCUGUUUGGUGGAGAACGCACGUUGGUUCAAGGUAAAUAGCUGUGAUUCAUCUGCCCCAUCAUAGAAUGCUUUGGCUAGAGCAUUCCAGAUUUCAUGUGCAGUAGGCAGUCUAAGAUAGCGUUUCAUAAUUUCUGGUGACAUGGAGGUCAACAACCAUCCUUUAAUCUUUUGAUUCUCAGCAUACCAUUUAGCAUAGGAUGGAUCAGUUUUUUCUGGGAUUGUGUUGCUUACAAGAUAUUCAAGUUUCUCUCGUCCUGCAAUUUGCAUCUCCAUGAUUUGAGACCAGACAUCAUAGUUGCUUUCAGUAAGGGUGACAUUGGUUGAGAAACUGGAAUUCUCUGAUUGAACCUGGAUAACUGGAACAGAUGAUGAUUCGGUUUUGUCACUGGCCAUGGUACGAGAAGGAGGAUUCGUAAGAUUUAUAAGGUUUGUGUGGUGAUAUAAAGAGCAGAUAAUAAACCUGCUCUGAUACCAAGUCAAAACGUAUGCAGAGUUUUCAAAGGGAUUCAAUUGUUUAUUUUCACUUAGUAACUUCCUCUGUUACAAGCAGAAUAUAUAUAGCUACUCUACAUAAGAAUCCCUACGUUUCAGAUCCUAUAGUUUAGGACUGAUUUGCUAAUUACAUGGAAACCUAUUUCUACUAGGAUACAAUCACGUAUUUACCGGGAUGCUGGAAUAUAUCUUUCCAGCUAAUAUCAGAGACAAUGUAGGACUUGAAUGCUGCAAAUCCAACUUGGAGAUAAUUACCGCAAUUGUUAACACUUCCAUGUUUGGCUCGUCACAUCCUCCUAUUUCAUAUCUGAUGACCUGAGCCUCUUUUGAGUUGACUUGUAGUGCAAAGUAGUUCAAAAUCUCUGGUAUAUAUUUUGUCACUCGAAAAUGGUAUAGACUCCGCCACCAGACGAGGCAGGAAACUAACCUUGGUCCCACUACUAGUAAAAUGAAUUCUCAUCCUUUUACCUGGAUGGAGAUCGUUGUACAGGUAGAAUAUCGUUGAGUCGGG
Molecule: long non-coding RNA, 11107 nt
Filed under: Populus trichocarpa (black cottonwood)
Lineage: Eukaryota; Viridiplantae; Streptophyta; Magnoliopsida; Malpighiales; Salicaceae
Description: long non-coding RNA (PTRI_LNC004327)
Source: RNAcentral